AUGGAGGAGAGUGCUAGGACAAUUCAGGAGAUGGCUGAUCUUGUUCAAAGGACCUGCAUUGACAAAACUGGAGGCGUUCGUUCAGAAAAUCUCCUGCAUCCUAGAAGCCCCACUCCAGAUUCUGGCAGGUUAACCGUCGAGACGAAAGACACUGAGGGUGGCUUCGAUCGCUCGCUUCUCUUCUCCCGCUCGAAGUCCGAUGACGCUCCAAUCACAAAGGGGCCAGCAUACCAAAUCUCUCCACCAAGAAGCCCUCGCGAAAGCACCUGCAAGGCGACGCUGCUAUGCCCGGUCACCCCUCUGGAGCUGGGUGGAUCGCCAGCUAAACCAUGGAAGAAGCUCAAGGUGGUGCCCACUACAGACGUGGCAAAGGAAAUGGUGUCGCUGGGGACUGCAUAA
This 399-nucleotide ribosomal RNA is filed under the name Triticum aestivum (bread wheat). Its description in RNAcentral is "partial small subunit ribosomal RNA". The record is from RNAcentral. Lineage: Eukaryota; Viridiplantae; Streptophyta; Magnoliopsida; Poales; Poaceae.